This 236-nucleotide long non-coding RNA is filed under the name Lathyrus oleraceus (garden pea). RNAcentral describes it as "Pisum sativum (pea) long non-coding RNA (PSAT_LNC006176)". The record is from RNAcentral. Lineage: Eukaryota; Viridiplantae; Streptophyta; Magnoliopsida; Fabales; Fabaceae.
AAACAGGCACAAUCAACAGCAUGGCCAAUGGAACAUCAUUAUGCAUCAUUAGCAACAAACCAAACAAAAUCCUGAGAAAAUUCUGGACAGGGCAUAAGUUUGGAUAGCAGUAGUAUCAAUUCAUUAUCAGUCUACAGCAUAACCAAUAGCACAGCAAUAACAAUAUGUUCAUACAAAUACAAGCAACAACAGCCAAUGAACUUCACAAUUUUUCUGGAUUCUCAUGCAUACUUUAG